This 567-nucleotide ribosomal RNA is filed under the name uncultured bacterium. RNAcentral describes it as "partial 16S ribosomal RNA". It matches the Rfam family "Bacterial small subunit ribosomal RNA", at positions 355 to 914 of the family's 1533-position model. The record is from RNAcentral.
UGGGGAAUUUUGGACAAUGGGCGCAAGCCUGAUCCAGCCAUGCCGCGUGCGGGAAGAAGGCCUUCGGGUUGUAAACCGCUUUUGUCAGGGAAGAAAUCUUCUGAGUUAAUACCUCGGGAGGAUGACGGUACCUGAAGAAUAAGCACCGGCUAACUACGUGCCAGCAGCCGCGGUAAUACGUAGGGUGCAAGCGUUAAUCGGAAUUACUGGGCGUAAAGCGUGCGCAGGCGGUUUUGUAAGACAGAGGUGAAAUCCCCGGGCUCAACCUGGGAACUGCCUUUGUGACUGCAAGGCUUGAGUGCGGCAGAGGGGGAUGGAAUUCCGCGUGUAGCAGUGAAAUGCGUAGAUAUGCGGAGGAACACCGAUGGCGAAGGCAAUCCCCUGGGCCUGCACUGACGCUCAUGCACGAAAGCGUGGGGAGCAAACAGGAUUAGAUACCCUGGUAGUCCACGCCCUAAAACGAUGUCAACUGGUUGUUGGGAAGGUUCCUUCUCAGUAACGUAGCUAACGCGUGAAGUUGACCGCCUGGGGAGUACGGCCGCAAGGUUGAAACUUAAAUGAAUUGAC